UUCAGCCAACUAAAAGGGCUCUUAAAUCUCACAUAAAAGUGAGAAUUUUGGGCAAAUUUCAAAGUCUUGGAGUACCAAUCGAAGUUCGGGCAACGCAUAGUCAUGAAUAUAAUUUCAUUUUGGAGUUGGAGGAGCAUGGGAAUAAGUAAAUGUUGAAGAUUUUGCUACUUUCAUAAAAAUAAGAUUACGAAGCUACGAAUAAUUCUUAAGAGAGGUGCAAGACGGGAAGUAAGUUAGAAGUCGAGAAUUAUCCUUCAGGUGCAUACAGAUGAGUAGAAGACAUUGCUAGAAGAUGUUCCAGCGGGAUUGGCGAGCUCCAUUUCUUUCCGGAGUGUUGCCGAGUCAGAGUACCCAUGUCAUGGUAUAAUGAUUUAUGUUAGAGACUUUGUAGACAGAGUCACGUAUUUAGCCUGCCAGUCUUGUAUGCGGCUAUAUUAGCCGAUGUAUUCAUUAUGCAUCACUUUACAUAUUUAUAUGAUUACAAAUUUUAUUUGA
Long non-coding RNA from Lycium barbarum (goji berry), 495 nucleotides. RefSeq lists it as uncharacterized. The transcript is spliced from 3 exons. The record is from RefSeq and is a predicted model, not a curated record. Lineage: Eukaryota; Viridiplantae; Streptophyta; Magnoliopsida; Solanales; Solanaceae.